GACUGACCGAUAGUGAACCAGUACCGUGAGGGAAAGGCGAAAAGAACCCCGGAGAGGGGAGUGAAAUAGAACCUGAAACCGUAUGCGUACAAGCAGUGGGAGCCUACUUGUUAGGUGACUGCGUACCUUUUGUAUAAUGGGUCAGCGACUUAUAUUCAGUGGCAAGCUUAACCGUAUAGGGUAGGCGUAGCGAAAGCGAGUCUUAAUAGGGCGUUUAGUCGCUGGGUAUAGACCCGAAACCGGGCGAUCUAUCCAUGAGCAGGUUGAAGGUUAGGUAACACUGACUGGAGGACCGAACCCACUCCCGUUGAAAAGGUAGGGGAUGACUUGUGGAUCGGAGUGAAAGGCUAAUCAAGCUCGGAGAUAGCUGGUUCUCCUCGAAAGCUAUUUAGGUAGCGCCUCAUGUAUCACUCUGGGGGGUAGAGCACUGUUUCGGCUAGGGGUCAUCCCGACUUACCAAACCGAUGCAAACUCCGAAUACCCAGAAGUGCCGAGCAUGGGAGACACACGGCGGGUGCUAACGUCCGUCGUGAAAAGGGAAACAACCCAGACCGCCAGCUAAGGUCCCAAAGUUGUGGUUAAGUGGUAAACGAUGUGGGAAGGCUUAGACAGCUAGGAGGUUGGCUUAGAAGCAGCCAUCCUUUAAAGAAAGCGUAAUAGCUCACUAGUCGAGUCGGCCUGCGCGGAAGAUGUAACGGGGCUCAAACCACACACCGAAGCUGCGGGUGUCACGUAAGUGACGCGGUAGAGGAGCGUUCUGUAAGCCUGUGAAGGUGAGUUGAGAAGCUUGCUGGAGGUAUCAGAAGUGCGAAUGCUGACAUGAGUAACGACAAUGGGUGUGAAAAACACCCACGCCGAAAGACCAAGGGUUCCUGCGCAACGUUAAUCGACGCAGGGUUAGUCGGUUCCUAAGGCGAGGCUGAAAAGCGUAGUCGAUGGGAAACAGGUUAAUAUUCCUGUACUUCUGGUUACUGCGAUGGAGGGACGGAGAAGGCUAGGCCAGCUUGGCGUUGGUUGUCCAAGUUUAAGGUGGUAGGCUGAAAUCUUAGGUAAAUCCGGGGUUUCAAGGCCGAGAGCUGAUGACGAGUCGUCUUUUAGAUGACGAAGUGGUUGAUGCCAUGCUUCCAAGAAAAGCUUCUAAGCUUCAGGUAAUCAGGAACCGUACCCCAAACCGACACAGGUGGUCGGGUAGAGAAUACCAAGGCGCUUGAGAGAACUCGGGUGAAGGAACUAGGCAAAAUGGCACCGUAACUUCGGGAGAAGGUGCGCCGGCUAGGGUGAAGGAUUUACUCCGUAAGCUCUGGCUGGUCGAAGAUACCAGGCCGCUGCGACUGUUUAUUAAAAACACAGCACUCUGCAAACACGAAAGUGGACGUAUAGGGUGUGACGCCUGCCCGGUGCCGGAAGGUUAAUUGAUGGGGUUAGCGCAAGCGAAGCUCUUGAUCGAAGCCCCGGUAAACGGCGGCCGUAACUAUAACGGUCCUAAGGUAGCGAAAUUCCUUGUCGGGUAAGUUCCGACCUGCACGAAUGGCGUAACGAUGGCGGCGCUGUCUCCACCCGAGACUCAGUGAAAUUGAAAUCGCUGUGAAGAUGCAGUGUAUCCGCGGCUAGACGGAAAGACCCCGUGAACCUUUACUGUAGCUUUGCACUGGACUUUGAGCCUGCUUGUGUAGGAUAGGUGGGAGGCUUUGAAGCGUGGACGCCAGUUCGCGUGGAGCCAUCCUUGAAAUACCACCCUGGCAUGCUUGAGGUUCUAACUCUGGUCCGUGAUCCGGAUCGAGGACAGUGUAUGGUGGGCAGUUUGACUGGGGCGGUCUCCUCCUAAAGAGUAACGGAGGAGUACGAAGGUGCGCUCAGACCGGUCGGAAAUCGGUCGCAGAGUAUAAAGGCAAAAGCGCGCUUGACUGCGAGACAGACACGUCGAGCAGGUACGAAAGUAGGUCUUAGUGAUCCGGUGGUUCUGUAUGGAAGGGCCAUCGCUCAACGGAUAAAAGGUACUCCGGGGAUAACAGGCUGAUACCGCCCAAGAGUUCAUAUCGACGGCGGUGUUUGGCACCUCGAUGUCGGCUCAUCACAUCCUGGGGCUGAAGCCGGUCCCAAGGGUAUGGCUGUUCGCCAUUUAAAGUGGUACGCGAGCUGGGUUUAGAACGUCGUGAGACAGUUCGGUCCCUAUCUGCCGUGGACGUUUGAGAUUUGAGAGGGGCUGCUCCUAGUACGAGAGGACCGGAGUGGACGAACCUCUGGUGUUCCGGUUGUCACGCCAGUGGCAUUGCCGGGUAGCUAUGUUCGGAAAAGAUAACCGCUGAAAGCAUCUAAGCGGGAAACUUGCCUCAAGAUGAGAUCUCACUGGGAACUUGAUUCCCCUGAAGGGCCGUCGAAGACUACGACGUUGAUAGGCUGGGUGUGUAAGCGUUGU
RNAcentral lists this ribosomal RNA (2416 nucleotides) under Pseudomonas aeruginosa. Its description in RNAcentral is "bacterial LSU rRNA". It matches the Rfam family "Bacterial large subunit ribosomal RNA", at positions 478 to 2879 of the family's 2925-position model. Lineage: Bacteria; Pseudomonadati; Pseudomonadota; Gammaproteobacteria; Pseudomonadales; Pseudomonadaceae. The record is from RNAcentral.